RNAcentral lists this transfer RNA (94 nucleotides) under Candidatus Cloacimonadota bacterium. RNAcentral describes it as "Candidatus Cloacimonetes bacterium tRNA-Ser". It matches the Rfam family "tRNA". From Rfam's summary of the family: Transfer RNA (tRNA) molecules are approximately 80 nucleotides in length. Their secondary structure includes four short double-helical elements and three loops (D, anti-codon, and T loops). The record is from RNAcentral. Lineage: Bacteria; Pseudomonadati; Candidatus Cloacimonadota.
GGAGACGUGUCCGAGCCGGUUGAAGGAGCACGAUUGGAAAUCGUGUAUACGGUCAAAAACUGUAUCCAGGGUUCGAAUCCCUGCGUCUCCGCCA